Molecule: ribosomal RNA, 254 nt
Filed under: uncultured bacterium
Lineage: Bacteria
Description: partial 16S ribosomal RNA
Rfam family: Bacterial small subunit ribosomal RNA
Source: RNAcentral
UACAGAGGGGGCAAGCGUUGUUCGGAAUUACUGGGCGUAAAGGGCGCGUAGGCGGUCAGCACAAGUCAGUUGUGAAAUCUCCGGGCUUAACUCGGAAAGGUCAACUGAUACUGUGCGACUAGAGUGCAGAAGGGGCAACUGGAAUUCUCGGUGUAGCGGUGAAAUGCGUAGAUAUCGAGAGGAACACCGGUGGCGAAGGCGGGUCUCUGGGCCGAUACUGACGCUGAGGAGCGAAAGCGUGGGGAGCGAACAGG